GAUGAACGCUGGCGGCGUGCCUAAUACAUGCAAGUCGAGCGAACAGAUAAGGAGCUUGCUCCUUUGACGUUAGCGGCGGACGGGUGAGUUACACGUGGAUAACCUACCUAUAAGACUGGGAUAACUUCGGGAAACCGGAGCUAAUACCGGAUAACAUAUUGAACCGCAUGGUUCAAUAGUGAAAGGCGGCUUUGCUGUCACUUAUAGAUGGAUCCGCGCCGUAUUAGCUAGUUGGUAAGGUAACGGCUUACCAAGGCAACGAUACGUAGCCGACCUGAGAGGGUGAUCGGCCACACUGGAACUGAGACACGGUCCAGACUCCUACGGGAGGCAGCAGUAGGGAAUCUUCCGCAAUGGGCGAAAGCCUGACGGAGCAACGCCGCGUGAGUGAUGAAGGUCUUCGGAUCGUAAAACUCUGUUAUCAGGGAAGAACAAAUGUGUAAGUAACUGUGCACAUCUUGACGGUACCUGAUCAGAAAGCCAUGGCUAACUACGUG
This 497-nucleotide ribosomal RNA is filed under the name uncultured bacterium. RNAcentral describes it as "partial 16S ribosomal RNA". It matches the Rfam family "Bacterial small subunit ribosomal RNA", at positions 28 to 507 of the family's 1533-position model. The record is from RNAcentral.